CAGUGGGGAAUCUUGGUCAAUGGGCGCAAGCCUGAACCAGCGAUGCCGCGUGAGUGAUGAAGGCCUUCGGGUUGUAAAGCUCUGUGGGGAGGGACGAAAGCCUGCAUUCUAACAGGAUGCAGUUUGACGGUACCUCCUUAGCAAGCACCGGCUAACUCUGUGCCAGCAGCCGCGGUAAGACAGAGGGUGCAAACGUUGCUCGGAAUCACUGGGCGUAAAGGGCGUGUAGGCGGGAAGGAAAGUCAGAUGUGAAAUCCCUGGGCUCAACCCAGGAACUGCAUUUGAAACUCCCUUUCUUGAGUGCUGGAGAGGAAAGCGGAAUUCCUGGUGUAGAGGUGAAAUUCGUAGAUAUCAGGAGGAACACCGGUGGCGAAGGCGGCUUUCUGGACAGUAACUGACGCUGAGACGCGAAAGCGUGGGGAGCAAACAGGAUUAGA
Molecule: ribosomal RNA, 437 nt
Filed under: uncultured bacterium
Lineage: Bacteria
Description: bacterial SSU rRNA
Rfam family: Bacterial small subunit ribosomal RNA
Source: RNAcentral